CUGGACGUGGCGCAAUGGGAGCGCACCGGCCCUGGGAGCCGGGGGUUGGGAGUUCGAAUCUCUCCGUCCAGA
Molecule: transfer RNA, 72 nt
Filed under: Actinomycetota bacterium
Lineage: Bacteria; Bacillati; Actinomycetota
Description: tRNA-Pro
Rfam family: tRNA
About the family: Transfer RNA (tRNA) molecules are approximately 80 nucleotides in length.
Source: RNAcentral